GGCUACUACAUCCAAGGAAGGCAGCAGGCGCGCAAAUUACCCAAUCCCGACUCGGGGAGGUAGUGACAAUAAAUACUGAUACAGGGCUCUUUUGGGUCUUGUAAUUGGAAUGAGUACAAUUUAAUUCCCUUAACGAGGAACAAUUGGAGGGCAAGUCUGGUGCCAGCAGCCGCGGUAAUUCCAGCUCCAAUAGCGUAUAUUAAAGUUGUUGCAGUUAAAAAGCUCGUAGUUGAACCUUGGGCCUGGCUGGCCGGUCCGCCUCACCGCGUGCACUGGUCCGGCCGGGCCUUUCCCUCUGGGGAGCCGCAUGCCCUUCACUGGGCGUGUCGGGGAACCAGGACUUUUACUUUGAAAAAAUUAGAGUGUUCAAAGCAGGCUUAUGCUCGGAUACAUUAGCAUGGAAUAAUAGAAUAGGACGUGUGGUUCUAUUUUGUUGGUUUCUAGGACCGCCGUAAUGAUUAAUAGGGACAGUCGGGGGCAUCAGU
RNAcentral lists this ribosomal RNA (485 nucleotides) under Grosmannia aurea. RNAcentral's name for it is "SSU rRNA". It matches the Rfam family "Eukaryotic small subunit ribosomal RNA", at positions 405 to 895 of the family's 1831-position model. RNAcentral also lists the same sequence under 1 other name. Lineage: Eukaryota; Fungi; Ascomycota; Sordariomycetes; Ophiostomatales; Ophiostomataceae. The record is from RNAcentral.